GAUUAUUGGACAAGGGGCGAACUCUUGAUCCAGCCAUGCCUCGUGGGUGAAGAAGGUCUGGGGAUGGUAAAGCACUGUCAUUUGGGAGGAAGUGCAGUAAGUUAAGAGCUUGCGCAUUCGACGUUACCUGCAUAAUAAGCACCUGCUAACUUCGUGCUGUCAGCCGCGGUAAUACGAAGGGUGCAAGCGUUAAGCGGAAUUACUGGGCGUAAAGCGCGCGUAGGUGGUUUGUUAAGUUGGAAGUGAAAGCCCCGGGCUCAACCUGGGAACUACUUUCAAAACUAGCAAGCUAGAGUAUGGCAGAGGGUGGUGGAAUUUCCUGUGUAGCGGUGAAAUGCGUAGAUAUAGGAAGGAACACCAGUGGCGAAGGCGACCACCUGGACUAAUACUGACACUGAGGAGCGAAAGCGUGGGGAGCAAAC
RNAcentral lists this ribosomal RNA (422 nucleotides) under uncultured bacterium. RNAcentral describes it as "partial 16S ribosomal RNA". It matches the Rfam family "Bacterial small subunit ribosomal RNA", at positions 359 to 773 of the family's 1533-position model. The record is from RNAcentral.